CACAUGCAAGUCGAACGGUAACAGGAAGCAGCUUGCUGCUUCGCUGACGAGUGGCGGACGGGUGAGUAAUGUCUGGGAAACUGCCUGAUGGAGGGGGAUAACUACUGGAAACGGUGGCUAAUACCGCAUAACGUCGCAAGACCAAAGAGGGGGACCUUCGGGCCUCUUGCCAUCAGAUGUGCCCAGAUGGGAUUAGCUAGUUGGUGAGGUAACGGCUCACCAAGGCGACGAUCCCUAGCUGGUCUGAGAGGAUGACCAGCCACACUGGAACUGAGACACGGUCCAGACUCCUACGGGAGGCAGCAGUGGGGAAUAUUGCACAAUGGGCGCAAGCCUGAUGCAGCCAUGCCGCGUGUAUGAAGAAGGCCUUCGGGUUGUAAAGUACUUUCAGCGGGGAGG
Molecule: ribosomal RNA, 399 nt
Filed under: Salmonella enterica
Lineage: Bacteria; Pseudomonadati; Pseudomonadota; Gammaproteobacteria; Enterobacterales; Enterobacteriaceae
Description: bacterial SSU rRNA
Rfam family: Bacterial small subunit ribosomal RNA
Source: RNAcentral